RNAcentral lists this ribosomal RNA (209 nucleotides) under uncultured bacterium. RNAcentral's name for it is "partial 16S ribosomal RNA". It matches the Rfam family "Bacterial small subunit ribosomal RNA", at positions 568 to 774 of the family's 1533-position model. The record is from RNAcentral.
AGCGUAGGCGGACAUUUAAGUCAGAGGUAAGAAAUCCCGGAGCUUAACUUCGGAACUGCCUUUGAUACUGGGUGUCUUGAGUGUGAGAGAGGUAUGUGGAACUCCGAGUGUAGAGGUGAAAUUCGUAGAUAUUCGGAAGAACACCAGUGGCGAAGGCGACAUACUGGCUCAUUACUGACGCUGAGGCUCGAAAGCGUGGGGAGCAAACA